ACCUGCGUGAAAAAAUAGUUGCCUCCCACAGGAUUAAUGAAAUCGCAUAUCAGGUCUCCGACCAUCUUUUCCCCAGAUAAUUCCACUUAUUGCUUCUGUUAUUACCCAGCAGUUGUAAUUUACCAUUGAUUUUGGAUUGGUGUUGCUUGAUUAUGGUUAAUAUUCAUUGUCAGUGUUCUCCCUUUCAUCUGUCUUUAACUUUUCUUUCCGUGUAGGUUCAAGAUUGCUGCAGAAAUUAUUCUUCUCCUUCACUUUCUAGUCUUUAUCGGCAAAAAAAAUCUUCUUACGAGGUACAAAUUUGUGCUUUUGUAUGUGUAACUAUUGCGCUUUGUGAUUUGUGAAAGUAUAAAUUUUUCUCCAUAUGCUAAGGUGUUUGUGAUAUCCGGGUGCUAUUAAAUUAAUGUGAG
This 407-nucleotide long non-coding RNA is filed under the name Nicotiana benthamiana. Its description in RNAcentral is "long non-coding RNA (NBEN_LNC021500)". Lineage: Eukaryota; Viridiplantae; Streptophyta; Magnoliopsida; Solanales; Solanaceae. The record is from RNAcentral.